Molecule: unclassified non-coding RNA, 354 nt
Filed under: Hevea brasiliensis (rubber tree)
Lineage: Eukaryota; Viridiplantae; Streptophyta; Magnoliopsida; Malpighiales; Euphorbiaceae
Source: RNAcentral
GGAUGUCGACCCCGUUACCAGUGUCUUUAUUUGAGUUGUUCCAAAAUAAAUAAGAGCAUCUUUUAUUAAUGCUCGGUGUGUUUCAUUAUGCAUGGAUCUGAUAUGAUCAAAACUGUCACUUUCAGUUACAUCAAUAAUUGUUAAGGACAAAUACGCUUUAGUAGAGUUAAUCCAAAAUAAAUAAGAGCAACUUCAUCGAUGAUCAAUAUGUGUCAUGUUUAUACCUUGAGUUGGGCUGUGAACUCAGCUGCUUCAUUAGCAGGUCUAUUCUCAAACUCGAACAAUAAGAUUAGAAAGUUCAAAUCCAAAAAUAGCUAACCUCUGCCCAUGGUUGACACAAAACUUAUUAUUUUU